UUCGCUUCCUUCUUCUUCCUCCUCCUCUUGUUUUUCCUUCUCCCUCUUCCUUCUCAACCUUUGCAUUUCAAUCUUGCUUAACUGGAGCAACAGUUUGGGGUCGCGGGCCCCGGUCUAUGCAGCCUGAACAGAAAACCUUGUGAGACAGAGAAUGUGAAGUAGAAAGAGUUAAAGGAAGACUACCCUCAAAGCCCUGAACGAGACUUCUAUCAGCUCUUAUUGUGUUGAAUCAUGAACAAGUUAAACCCCAUGUACCCCCAAGUCACAGCCCCAACCAAGUCCAGAAGAAACUGGUGCUAUUUACUCUAAGUAAAUGCUUGAAACUCUUCGACAAGGCUGAGAGAAAGAAGAUUGAGAUGUUUCCUUUUGGAUGCUAACAAAAGAGAAAACUAUUAUCACCCUUUUCUCCCCAUUCAGUAAACUCUUACCUCUAGGAUCAAAUAGAAAACCCUCUCUUUGGUGAUUAGAGCCUUUCAUUACCUGUCCCCUUCUUACUUUUCUAGUCUUCAUAUACUUACUCCCCUCUACAUACUCCAUGAUCCAGUAAUGCCGGCCUCCUUGCUCAUCCUACAAGACACUGCAUCUCCCAAGUCGGUGUAUCUUCACUGGCCGUCCUGCAGGCCUGGAACGUUCUCCCUCCUCGUCUCUAACUCUUGGCUUAUUUCCUGAAAGAAGCCAAUCCUCUUUACUACUAUCAUAUUACAUCUGAGAUUAUCCAAGUUAUCUUCAGACACUGAAGUUUCCAAAUUACAUGUGAGAAAAUAGAAGACAAAAAAUUGCCCCUCAAUCUACAGAAUAAAAAUUCAAGGCUAUGAUGAAACCAUUCUGAUGAGGUCUGCAUCCCUAGGUUCUAUGGAAGAUACAAAAAAGGGAGAAAAGAAAGAAAAAAGACACUGUGAUUAUCAUAAAGGAACUUACAAACUCUUCAGGAGUGCUUACAGAGUGCCUGGCACACAUCUAGCGCUUAAUUAAUAUUUAUUGACUAACUGUUGAAUGAAUGGACUUUUAAAACUCCAGAUAUUCCUGUCUCAGGAAUGACCUCAUCUAAUGAAUUGGACAAGGAUAUGGAUUUUAGGAGAAGAGGGUUCUGCCCAGAGUGGAAGCAA
Phascolarctos cinereus (koala) is the source of this 1106-nucleotide long non-coding RNA. RefSeq lists it as uncharacterized. The record is from RefSeq and is a predicted model, not a curated record. NCBI's taxonomy places the organism in Eukaryota, Metazoa, Chordata, Mammalia, Diprotodontia, Phascolarctidae.